This is a long non-coding RNA of Peromyscus maniculatus bairdii (prairie deer mouse), 557 nucleotides long. RefSeq lists it as uncharacterized. The record is from RefSeq and is a predicted model, not a curated record. Lineage: Eukaryota; Metazoa; Chordata; Mammalia; Rodentia; Cricetidae.
AGUAGCGCAAGGGCGGGGUGGGGCCAAGGGGACCCUCUCCGACAAGUGGGGGUCCUGAGCGCUGCCCCAGAAGGGGUCGAGAGAACGUUGUGGGCUGGAACACACACACCCGCGGGGGCAGAAACUGGACGACACGACGGACGUCGCCAGCAUCCAGGGCUCUGUCCCUCCUCUCAGCAGCCCCAUGUUCACCACCUCUGCGUUAGCACUCUGUGGGCCCAGGGCGGUCCCCGGGUUAACGCCAGGGCGCUCUCGGAUGCUCUGCGAAUCGCUGCUCCGUCCUUACUUUGGGGUCCCGCUUCCGCCGGCCGCUAAUUAGCGCUCCGGCCCUCUUGGGCAUCUCAAACUCACCCCCGGGGUCAAAUGUGCGCCUCUCCUGGAAAUCUUCUACGAAGGGGACAAACUUUUGAGUGGACGAAAAUCUAAAGGAGCCUGUCGAGAGCAGGCAAAGCAUCACCUCUACCUCAGUAUGCCACUGAGUAUCGGAAAAAUUUUGCCACCCCAAGACUUCAGUGUGUUGUGGAUAGAUAAACAAAUAAACAGAUGGAAAAAGAAAA